RNAcentral lists this ribosomal RNA (253 nucleotides) under uncultured bacterium. RNAcentral's name for it is "partial 16S ribosomal RNA". It matches the Rfam family "Bacterial small subunit ribosomal RNA", at positions 524 to 776 of the family's 1533-position model. The record is from RNAcentral.
UACAGAGGUCUCAAGCGUUGUUCGGAUUCAUUGGGCGUAAAGGGUGCGUAGGCGGCGCGGUAAGUCGGGUGUGAAAUCUUGGAGCUUAACUCCGAGACUGCAUUCGAUACUGCCGUGCUUGAGGACUGGAGAGGAGACUGGAAUUUACGGUGUAGCGGUGAAAUGCGUAGAUAUCGUAAGGAAGACCAGUGGCGAAGGCGGGUCUCUGGACAGUUCCUGACGCUGAGGCACGAAGGUCAGGGGAGCAAACGGG